Molecule: ribosomal RNA, 253 nt
Filed under: uncultured bacterium
Lineage: Bacteria
Description: partial 16S ribosomal RNA
Rfam family: Bacterial small subunit ribosomal RNA
Source: RNAcentral
GACGGAGGGUGCUAGCGUUGUUCGGAAUGACUGGGCGUAAAGGGCGCGUAGGCGGCUCGUGAAGUCGGGUGUGAAAGCCCGGGGCUCAACCCCGGAACGGCAUCCGAUACUGGCGGGCUUGAGACCGGGAGAGGAGGGUGGAAUACCCAGUGUAGAGGUGAAAUUCGUAGAUAUUGGGUGGAACACCGGUGGCGGAAGCGGCUCUCUGGCCCGGAUCUGACGCUGAGGCGCGAAAGCGUGGGGAGCAAACGGG